Molecule: ribosomal RNA, 253 nt
Filed under: uncultured bacterium
Lineage: Bacteria
Description: partial 16S ribosomal RNA
Rfam family: Bacterial small subunit ribosomal RNA
Source: RNAcentral
UACGGAGGGAGCUAGCGUUGUUCGGAUAUACUGGGCGUAAAGCGCACGUAGGCGGCGCAGCAAGUCAGGGGUGAAAUCCCGGAGCUCAACUCCGGAACUGCCUUUGAAACUGCAGUGCUAGAAUUCUGGAGAGGCGAGUGGAAUUCCGAGUGUAGAGGUGAAAUUCGUAGAUAUUCGCAAGAACACCAGUGGCGAAGGCGGCUCACUGGCUCGAUACUGACGCUGAGGUGCGAAAGCGUGGGGAGCAAACAGG